GAUGCUCUAAUAUAUCUCAAGUAAAGAAUAAUAUCAUUAUUGUGUACUACGUGUUCAUUCCUCGUUCUUUUAGAUACAUUUUUUAACUGAAACAAAUUAAUUAUCAAGCGAGACCCAAAAUAGCGGCCCAAUUACUUCCAUGCUCUUCCCUCCGUCUCCAACUCGGUUCUUGUCGCUGUGUUUUAAAAGCUCAACCUUGUCAGAAGCAUACAGCAAUUUGCGGAAGAAGAUGGUAGUUUGCUUUCCCUCCACCCCCAAGAGGUUGGCAAUGACGGUUGGGUGUUUCGUUUCUGCUGCUGCUCUUUUCGGGUUCGGUGCGCAUCUCUCGUAUGUCAACGUUGCCCCUCAACAAGCUCGAACCAAAGCUCGAAAUGAAUUUGUGAGAGAGCGGCUGAAACAGAAGUACGGCAGCAAAUGAUACAACACGCAUGGUUUCCAGAUAUCAGUUCGGUUUUCGGAUCGUAUCCUGGUAGGGGUGGGACAAGUUUGAGGUGUGAAUUUAUGAUCCAUCCCUUGUGGGAACUCUUUCAGGGAUGAACAUCCAACUGUUUUUGUGGUUGUUUUGGUUUUUCGUUUGCUCAACAUUUGUAUGUAUCAGUAUUACAAGUUAUAACAGGGAUGAAUACGCCAACUCUCAUAACCGAAGAAAAUGGAAGUGCAGAACUGGAUUUAGCCAGUUGGCUGGA
Malus domestica (apple) is the source of this 686-nucleotide long non-coding RNA. RefSeq lists it as uncharacterized. NCBI's taxonomy places the organism in Eukaryota, Viridiplantae, Streptophyta, Magnoliopsida, Rosales, Rosaceae. The record is from RefSeq and is a predicted model, not a curated record.